CCUACGGGUGACAGCAGUGAGGAAUAUUGGUCAAUGGACGGGAGUCUGAACCAGCCUUGCCGCGUGCGGGAAGACGGCUCUAUGUGUUGUAAACUUCUUUUGUCCGAGGAUAAACCUUAAUACGUGUAUUCAGCUGAGAGUACUUUACGAAUAAGGAUCGGCUAACUCCGUGCCAGCAGCCGCGGUAAUACGGAGGAUGCGAGCGUUAUCCGGAUUUAUUGGGUUUAAAGGGUGCGUAGGCGGUUUAUCAAGUCAGCGGUAAAAUCGUGGAGCUCAACUCCAUCCAGCCGUUGAAACUGAUGAUCUUGAGUGGGCGAGAAGUAUGCGGAAUGCGUGGUGUAGCGGUGAAAUGCAUAGAGAUCGCGCAGAACUCCGAUUGCGAAGGCAGCAUACCGGCGCCCGACUGACGCUGAAGCACGAAAGCGUGGGUAUCGAACAGGAUUAGAUACCCUUGUAGUC
Molecule: ribosomal RNA, 459 nt
Filed under: uncultured bacterium
Lineage: Bacteria
Description: partial 16S ribosomal RNA
Rfam family: Bacterial small subunit ribosomal RNA
Source: RNAcentral